UAGAGUUUUCAAAACUCCCAAACCCAUGUGAACUUACCAUUGUUGCCUCGGUGGGAACCUACCCUGUAACCGUCACAGCUUACCCUGUAACGGCCUACCCUGUAGCGCCUCACCGGUGGACCACUUAACUCUUGUUAUUUUAUGUAAUCUGAGAGUCUUAUUUUAAAUAAGUCA
RNAcentral lists this unclassified non-coding RNA (174 nucleotides) under uncultured Xylariales. Its description in RNAcentral is "sequence contains ITS1". Lineage: Eukaryota; Fungi; Ascomycota; Sordariomycetes; Xylariales. The record is from RNAcentral.